CCUCGGGGCGCAGCAGUGGGGAAUAUUGCACAAUGGGGGGAACCCUGACGCAGCGACGCCGCGUGGGUGAAGGAGUACUUCGGUACGUAAAGCCCUAUCAGCAGGAAAGAAAAUGACGGUACCUGACUAAGAAGCCCCGGCUAACUACGUGCCAGCAGCCGCGGUAAUACGUAGGGGGCAAGCGUUAUCCGGAUUUACUGGGUGUAAAGGGGGCGCAGACGGCGAUGCAAGCCAGGAGUGAAAGCCCGGGGCCCAACCCCGGGACUGCUCUUGGAACUGCGUGGCUGGAGUGCAGGAGGGGCAGG
This 305-nucleotide ribosomal RNA is filed under the name uncultured bacterium. RNAcentral describes it as "bacterial SSU rRNA". It matches the Rfam family "Bacterial small subunit ribosomal RNA", at positions 339 to 661 of the family's 1533-position model. The record is from RNAcentral.